CAGGAAGCUGAGAAGUACAAAGCUGAAGAUGAGAAACAGUGAGACAAGGUGUCUUCCAAGAACUCAUUUGAGUCUUAUGCAUUCAACAUGAAAGCAACUGUUGAAGAUGAAAAACUUCAGGGCAAGAUCAAUGAUGAGGACAAACAGAAGAUUCUUGACAAGUGCAAUGAAAUCAUCAAUUGGCUUGAUAAGAACCAGACUGCAGAGAAGGAAGAAUUUGAACACCAGCAGAAAGAGCUGGAGAAAGUCUGCAAUCCUAUCAUUACCAAACUGUACAAGAGUGCAGGGGGCAUGCCGGGAGGAAGGCCUGGAGGCUUCCCUGGUGGUGGAGCUCCUCCCUCUGGUGGUGCCUCCUCUGGACCCACCAUCGAAGAGGUUGAUUAAGCCAACCUGAGAAUAGGUCUAGCAUUGUUCCACACAAAAUAUUCGAAGGACCCAAAUUUGUAGCAAAUUCCAUGGCAGUUUUAAUGUUGAGCUGCUAUAGUAAAUAAACUGGGCAUUCUUUAUACUUGAAUAUGGAAUACGUGCACAGGGAAAGGAAAUAAACAUUGCACUUUAUAAGCA
Leptonychotes weddellii (Weddell seal) is the source of this 564-nucleotide non-coding RNA. Lineage: Eukaryota; Metazoa; Chordata; Mammalia; Carnivora; Phocidae. The record is from RefSeq and is a predicted model, not a curated record.